ACUUUAUUUUUCUAUUUUACUACCAAACUUGAUAUAUUGAUUCCUAAGGUCAAAGAUUUUGCUAAAUUUUUUUUUGUAUAAGUUCUUUAUUAUCAUUCUAAAGAUUAUAGAGUUUCUUUAUAAAAAAGAUCUUAGAAAUGAUCCUCAAUGAUUUGUAAAGUAUAGUCAAAACAUCCUACAUCUCCUUUGUUAACUUACAUUUACGUAUGUGUGUCAACUAUAAAGGCUUAACAUUGAAAGCAAUUAAUGCUUUUGCUUUUGCCUUGCUUAACUUCCAUUUUGAUUUCUUGUUUGUACUUGUAGGAUAUUAUAAUAUUUCAUUUAUGUGAAUGUAGAGCUUAUAUAUAUUAAUCAAGUACUUCAUAACAAACAUCCUAAUGCCAUAAUUAUUUUUAUUCAAUCAAUUAAUAAGAUAGUCAAUCAAGGAUGAUAUCAUUGUCAAAUCAACAUAUGCAACAACAACAACAACAAUAAACAAUAAGAUUGUUUAAUUAUAAUUGUUAUAAAAUCAACAAUAAAACAAUCAAAUAUUAUAUCAACAAUAAUAGCAAAUGAUAGUGAUACCUUGUUAUGAUAAAGCAAAAAUUAUUUUUUUGGCAACAACAACAUCAAUUGAUGAAUCUCCAUACAUGUUAGAAUUAGCUACUAAUAACACAACAUUCAACAACUAACACGUUAUAAGUAAGCAACAAAUGAUUUGAUUUGAUUCUUGUAGCUUACACUAAGUACAUGCACAUACAAGACAACAAGAUUAGUUGUAGUAGUAGCGACAAUAAGAAUGACAACAUUUAUUGCAUAAGUAGUACUUGCAAUACGUUCUAAUAUCAUGUAACAAAGUGACAUUCAUCAUAUCAUAAAAAAAUAUUUAUUCAAUUAAAAUUUUUUAUUUUCUACAAUAAAAAAUGGACUAAAAGAAUAGGGUAUUACUUUGUUGAAAUUUGAUAAUUUAUUAGACAAGUCCGAGCUUGCAAUACAAUCUUUGUAGUAUUAUUCAAUACCUUCAUAAUUAUACAAAAAUUGUUAAGAAAGGCAUUUAAUAAAUGGUGCAACCUUUGAAGGUGAGAAAGAUGUUAGAAGUUUGAAUGUUGAAUUUCUUCCUGCUAUUGGUUAUUCAAAAUUUGUACUCCUAAACUUUGAUUUGAAGUAUAAGAAAAACAAAACAAAAAUUACUGCGACUCUUGUGGUCCCAAGAGACGGAGUCUUGUAAUCACAAGAAUCGAUGACUUGGUUCGAAAAUUAGGGUUUCGAUCGUGUUUGGAGACCCACCUCGCAUUUCAUCACUCGCUGUUGUUUCAUGAUCUGCAGCAGCGAUACGUUGCUGUUUUCUUGAGUGGGUUCAUUGACUCGGCACGGUUUCGCACAAUUUGUCUUGGGGAAUAGCAAUUCGC
This 1388-nucleotide long non-coding RNA is filed under the name Physcomitrium patens. RNAcentral describes it as "long non-coding RNA (PPAT_LNC008023)". Lineage: Eukaryota; Viridiplantae; Streptophyta; Bryopsida; Funariales; Funariaceae. The record is from RNAcentral.